RNAcentral lists this ribosomal RNA (247 nucleotides) under uncultured Bacteroidota bacterium. RNAcentral describes it as "uncultured Bacteroidetes bacterium partial 16S ribosomal RNA". It matches the Rfam family "Bacterial small subunit ribosomal RNA", at positions 1186 to 1431 of the family's 1533-position model. The record is from RNAcentral. Lineage: Bacteria; Pseudomonadati; Bacteroidota.
CAAGUCAUCAUGGCCUUUACGUCCGGGGCUACACACGUGCUACAAUGUUUGGUACAGAGGGCUGCAAGCUGGUAACAGUAAGCUAAUCUCCAAAAGCCAAUCACAGUUCGGAUUGAGGUCUGCAACUCGACCUCAUGAAGUUGGAUUCGCUAGUAAUCGCAUAUCAGCAAUGAUGCGGUGAAUACGUUCCCGGGCCUUGUACACACCGCCCGUCAAGCCAUGAAAGCUGGGGGAACCUGAAGUCUGU